UUUUUUUUAAUUUUUAAGUUUUAUUGAAGUGUAGUUGAUGUAGAAGGUUGUGAUAAUUUUUGCUGUACAACAAUGAGAUUCAGUUAUGCAUGUACUCACAUCUGUUCUCUUUCAGAUUCUUUUCUCAUUAGAUUAUUACAGAAUAUUGGGUACAGUUCUCUGUGCUAUACAGCAGGUCCCCAUUGGCCAAUCACUCCAUAUACCUCAAUGUGCACAUGCCAAUCCCAAACCCCCAGUCCAUCUACCCUCCCCCACCUAUUCCCAUUAAAAUUUUUCUCCUUUUUUUUGUUUAUUAAGACAAACCAAAAAUAAUUAAACCAAAAACACAGGUCUUUCAAAAAUCAGACUCUGUGUAUUACCCUUCCUUUUUGCUGUCAGCACAGACUUAUAGACUAUUCCCCUGAAAUCAUAAAUUGCACCACUGUUCUCUUUUCCAUUAUUGCUUCUGUUAUCAUUAUGGUCAUUUUCAAAUUCCAGGGAGAAGAUCCAUCUCCACAGUGGCCUUGUAGCUUUGGGACCUCCUCAAAAACAAUGGUCUUCUCCACAUCCAUUCACUCUGUGCAUCUAGUACAGAUUUUGUCACCACCCUAAAUCUUGCAUUUCUGAACUCAGUGUUAGGCAUCUGACUUCCAACUCCCAUCUCAUACUUCUAGUUCCCUUUUUCUAGUAUUUCCACUCCAACAAACUUUCCAACUUAUUAAGACAUACAGUCUGUUGACUAUCAAAUUUAUUCUCCUUAUUCUUCCUUACCUUUCCUCACUCAUAAAAAAUUUGUACGCUAAUGUUAAAAGAAAGUUCAGAAGAGCUUUUCUUGAUAUAAAUAUUUUAUUGAGUGAGAAAUAAACUAUUAACGAACAAGGAUACUUCAAACCUGAAAGUGGUAGGAAGCUCAGAGGCAUGACAUUACAGGAUGGCUUAUGAAGUGAAAAUGAAGAAGCUAUUUAACCCUGAAAAUGACUGGAUUUUACAGUGGGAAUUUCCAGAUGGCAGGGGAUUGGUUAAAAGUGAUGAUUUCAUGCCACUUUAGAAGGAUGACUUAAAUUUCAUUUAUGAUUAUCAGAGGCGUGUACAAGAAAUGAUUUUUGUUUCUGUUCAUGAAAUGAACUAGACUAAGUUUUGCUUACUGGAUUUGUCUGCCUGGAGAAUCUUCAAACCUGGUCUCUAUUUUAUAUUAUUUGAAUAUAUAUCUUCUAUUCUAUUUAAAAUAUGAAACUCCUCUUUGAUCUAAUUUCCACCUCCAUUACUUUUGAAGUAACCAUAAUAAUGAAUGUUUUUUAAUGUUUAAAUUAAAAAAAAUCAUUUCAUGAAUUUAUUUUCACUUUUAGUACAUAUGUACGCACCCCUAGUGAUAUGUAGAAUUUGUUAGCAUGUUUUUAGAGUGUGUAGAAUUGUAUUAUACUCCAUAUAUUUAAUCAGCUGCAUUAUGCUUGCUAAAUUCCCUUGUCUUGGUUCAUGGAUUCCAAUUCCAUUUUCACUUGUUGCACAUUAUCUCAUUGAAUAAAUAUGCUAUAAUAUAUUCAUUUUUCUGCUAUUAAUGGAUAUUAUAUUGUCUAUUGUUAUUAUGAAAGUUGUUCUUUUCGGUUACAAACAAUGCUGGUCGUAUAGGUUCUUUCCUUUUGUACUGUGGCACACUAUUUAAUCUAAUGUUUAACUAUGGUGGACCCCUCAGAAUACACCUAAUUUGGCUCUUGUCUUAGUCCAUUCAGGCUGCUAUAACAGAAUACCAUAUGUGGUGAGGUCUCUAGUUCAUAAAUGGCUGUCUUCUCUCUUUUUUAUUUAUUUAUUUAUUUAUUUGUUUUUAAAGCAUAUGGAAGUUCCUGGGCUAGGGGUUGAAUCAAAGCUACAGCUACCAUCCCACGCCACAGCCACAGCAAUGCGGGAUCUGAGUCGCAUCUGUGACCUACAUCACAGCUCUCAGAAAUGCCAGAUCACCAACCCCCUGAGAGAGGCCAGGGAUCAAACCUGCAUCCUUGUAGAUACUAAUUGGAUUUGUUUCUGCUGAGCCCCAAUGGGAACUCCCACGGUCAUCUUCUCUUUCUGUCCUCACAUGGUAGAAGGGAGGGAGCUCUCUGCAGUCUGUCUGUCUGUCUGUCUUUCUUUUUUUCUGUUUUUUGCCCCUCUUGUGGCAUGUGGAAGUUCCCGGGCCGGGGAUCAAACCUGUGCCACCACAGCAACCUGAGCCACUACCGUGACAAUGCUGAUCUUUAACUCUCUGCACCACAAGGGGACUCCUGCAGAUUCUUUUAUAGACACUAAUCUCAUUCAUGAGGGUUUGACCUUAUAACCUAAUCACCUCUCAAAGGCCUCAUGUCCAAACGCCAUCACAUUCGGAGUUAGGUUUCAACAUGUGAAUUUUGCAGAGGACUCAAAUAUCCAGUCCACAGCAGCUGUACUGAAUUAUUUUUAAAGGACAUUGUGUAUUUAACUUACUAAAAUGUUUUUAUCCAUGUUCAUAAAUGAGAUCCCCUGUGAUCUGCUUUUUCCUUAUAUAUGCCCUUUUAUCAUAUUUAUGGGAGAAAAGCAAACUCCCCAUCCUGAUAUAAUGAGUUGGAUCCUUUGUUUUAUCAUUCCCUGGAAGAGUUUGUACAGAUUGAAAUUACCUAUAACUUGAAUGUUUUCUAGAUAUUGCCAAUAAAACAGUCUUAGUGUGAUGUGUUUUUAUGGAUAGAUUUUAAAUAGCUUAUUCAAAAUAUUUAAUAGGCCUUUUUAGAUCUUUAUUUUUUAUUUAAAGUUAGCUUUUACAAGUUAUCUCUUCUUAGAAUAUAAUUUCCUCUUAUAUUUCAAAAUUAUUAUCCUGAGAUGUUUUAGCAUUAUUUAUUAUCUUAUUAAUCUCUCCUUAAUCUGUAGUUAUAUAACUCUGUUCAUUCCAAAUAGGUAUGUAUUUGUAGCUUCUCUCUCUCUUUUUUUUUUUCUUCUCUUCUUAGGCCUCUUCAAAGGUUUAGUACUUUUUCAGCUUUACCAAAGAACAUGCUUUUGGUUUUGUUGAUCUUUUUUAUGAAUGUUUGUUUUUAAUUUCAUUUAUUUCCAUUUAUCUUUAUGGCUUUAUCCAUUCUACAUUCUUGUUGAUUAUUUAUCUUUUCUUUGUUGUAAUAGCUCAUUAAUUUUGAAACAUUCUUCUAAGUGCUACUAUAGCUAUUACUCAAAAGUCUUGCUAGAUUGUAUUUUUGCCAUUGAUGUGUUCUAACCAUUUCUCUUAUGAUUCUUUGGGCCCUGAAUUAUUUAGAGUGUGUUUUUAAUUUCCAGAUCUAUUUAUUGUUUCAGUAGUUUUAUAACAGAUGUCUUCUUCAACUGUAUUGUGGUCAGAGUAUAUGAAUGGUAUUAAUUAUAUAAAAUUUGUUGCAACUUAUAAGUUCAACUUUAAUGAAUAGAUUGUGAUAAAAAUUGUCCAGAAGAUUGUUUUUUAAAAUCUAGAUCCCAGGUCAAGUUUAAUAAAUAUUAUUGUCAUCCUUCUGGAAAACUAAUAUUUUUGUAAAUCACAUUUAAAAAAAGUUUAUUGGAAUAUAGCUGACUUACAAUGUUGUAUUAGUUUCAGGUGUACAGCAAAGUGAAUUAGUUAUUUUAUAUAUAAAUAUAAAUGGAUGGAUGUGUAUAUAUAUAUAUCCAUCCAUUCUUUUUUCCCAUAUAGGUUAUUACAAACUAUUGAGUAGAUUUCCCUACUAUACAAUAGGUUCUUGUUAAUUAUCUAUUUUGUACAGUAGUGUGUAUAUGCUAUUCCCAUCCUCCAAAUUCCUUCCUCCCCAGCCAUGAUUUCCCCUAAGGUAACCCUAAGAUUGGUUUUGAAAUCUGUGAGUUUGUUUCUGGUUUACAAAUAAUUUUUUGGUAUCAUUUUUAUUAUAUUCUGUGUAUAAAUUAUCUCAUAUGAUAUUUAUCUUUCUCAGUCUAACUUACUUCACUCAUCAUGAUAAUAUCUAGGACUAUCCAUGUUGUUGCAAAUGGCAUUAUUUCAUUCUUUUUUAUGGCUGGGUAAUAUUCCAUUGUGUAUAUGUACCACAUCUUCUUUUUCCAUUUUUCUAUCAAUGGACAUUUAGGUGCUUCUAUAUCUUGGCUAUCGUAAACAGUGCUGCAGUGAACACUGGGGUACAUGUAUCUUUUUGAAUUAUGGUCUUGUCUGGAUAAAUGCCUAGAAGUGGGAUUGCUGGAUCUUAUGGUAGUUCUAUAUUUAGUUUUAUGAGGAACUUCCUUACUGUUCUCAUAGUGGCUGCACAAAGUUAUAUUCCCAUCAACAGUGUAGGAGGGUUCCCUUUUCUCUAUACCCUCUCCAGAACCUGUUUGUAGACUUAAAAAAUUUUUUUCUCUUAGGGCCACACCUGUGGCAUACGGAAGUUCCCAGGCAUUUGUGACCUACACCACAGCUCACAGAAACACCAGAUGCUUAACCUACUGAGUGAGGCCAAGGAUCAAACCCACAUCCUCAUGCAUACUAGUCAGAUUCUUCACCUACUAAACCACUAUGGGAACUCCUGUUGUAGACUUUUUGGUUGUUGCUGUGCUGACUGGUGUGUGGUGAUACCUCUUUGUAGUUUUGAUUUAUGAAGCAACCAACAAUGGAUUAAUCUCCAUAAUAUACAAACAUCUCAUACAGCUUUAUAUCAAAAAAUAUAACUCUAUCAAAAAUGGGCAGAAGAUUCAAAUAAACAUUUCUCCAAAGACAGACAGAUGGACAAAACCCACAUAAAAUGCUGCUCAAGAUCACUAAUUAUUAAAGAAAUGUAAAUGACAUUUAAGGCAGGUUUAGGUAUGUGUCUACUACCCAAACCUUAUGGCCAUUAAAACCUGCAUAUCAGAUGGAGAAAUGCUUUUGGAUCAACAGAACUUAAACAACUGCUUCCCCUUAUGUUUUCAGUUUCCUUUUUGCUUUGGAGCUCUGAAGAGUUCUGUUAUUUUUGUGUGUGUGUGAGUUCUUCCAUAGAGUGGAGAGGAUGUUUGCUAUAUUUUAUCAAACAUUUCAAAUUCUUUUUUUAAACUGAGGAUUUCAGAUUAUUGAGAACACCACACUGCCAGAUAUAGAACUCCCACUUCCUCUUCACUAAUUUUAUCUAAGAUUUUAUGUCCUCCACUUACUAACUCCUCUUUAACAAAAACAGUGGUUAAUUCUCUAUCCCAUCUUAAUUGACCUCUUAUAUAGAUUUGAUGUGUUUGUUGAUGUUUCCCUUAAAUUUUUUUUUUUUCACCUUGGACUUCGAGACACGACAUCUCCCUGUUUUUCCCCCACUCCACUGGAUAUCCUUCUGUCUUUUUGCAGAAACCACCUUCUCCAUCAGCCUUCUCAAUUUGGUUUUGUUCCAGGGGCUGGUCCUCAGCCCUCUUUUCUAUCCUAAGUGAUCCUACCUAUCCCAUGGCUUCACCUGGCCUGUUAUACCUUGACUACUCCUGAGUUGUUAUCUUUUAGUUCCUCUUAACUUUUCAGGUUAAGAUGCACUUAUUCGGCUCAAUAGCUCCUCCCAGAUGUUAUGGUAGGCUGAAAAAUCCACCCCCUCCCCCCAAAAAAAUCUAUGUCCUAAUUCCUGGAACCUGUGAAUGUGACUUAUUUAGAAACAGAGCCUUUGCAGAUGUGAAAGAAUUCAGGGUUUUGAGGUGGGGAAAUCAUUCUGGAUUAUCCAUGUGAAAUCUAAACAUAAUAAUACAUUUUCUAAUAAGAGAGAGACCAAAAAAAGGACACACAGACAGAAGACAGAAGAGGAGAAGACAAGGUGACUGUGUAGCAGACACUAAAGGCAGGAACUGGCAAGGAAUGGGUUAUACCUGAGUCG
Molecule: long non-coding RNA, 5750 nt
Filed under: Sus scrofa (pig)
Lineage: Eukaryota; Metazoa; Chordata; Mammalia; Artiodactyla; Suidae
Description: lncRNA (ENSSSCG00000055628.1)
Source: RNAcentral